Molecule: ribosomal RNA, 713 nt
Filed under: uncultured bacterium
Lineage: Bacteria
Description: bacterial SSU rRNA
Rfam family: Bacterial small subunit ribosomal RNA
Source: RNAcentral
AUAACUGUUGGAAACGAUAGCUAAGACCGCAUAGGUGUGAUAACCGCAUGGAGGUGACAUGAAAUAUGCUACGGCAUAGGUAGAGGAUGGACUUAUGGCGCAUUAGCUAGUUGGAGGGGUAACGGCCCACCAAGGCGACGAUGCGUAGCCGACCUGAGAGGGUGACCGGCCACACUGGGACUGAGACACGGCCCAGACUCCUACGGGAGGCAGCAGUAGGGAAUUUUCGGCAAUGGGGGAAACCCUGACCGAGCAACGCCGCGUGAAGGAAGAAGUAAUUCGUUAUGUAAACUUCUGUCAUAGAGGAAGAACGGUGCGUGUAGGGAAUGACAUGCAAGUGACGGUACUCUAUAAGAAAGCCACGGCUAACUACGUGCCAGCAGCCGCGGUAAUACGUAGGUGGCGAGCGUUAUCCGGAAUUAUUGGGCGUAAAGAGGGAGCAGGCGGCACUAAGGGUCUGUGGUGAAAGAUCGAAGCUUAACUUCGGUAAGCCAUGGAAACCGUAGAGCUAGAGUGUGUGAGAGGAUCGUGGAACUCCAUGUGUAGCGGUGAAAUGCGUAGAUAUAUGGAGGAACACCAGUGGCGAAGGCGACGAUCUGGCGCAUAACUGACGCUCAGUCCCGAAAGCGUGGGGAGCAAAUAGGAUUAGAUACCCUAGUAGUCCACGCCGUAAACGAUGAGUACUAAGUGUUGGGAGUCAAAUCUCAGUGCUG